UACGUAGGGGGCUAGCGUUGUCCGGAAUCAUUGGGCGUAAAGAGCGCGUAGGCGGCCCGGUAAGUCCGCUGUGAAAGUCGGGGGCUCAACCCUCGAAUGCCGGUGGAUACUGUCGGGCUAGAGUGCGGAAGAGGCGAGUGGAAUUCCUGGUGUAGCGGUGAAAUGCGCAGAUAUCAGGAGGAACACCGGUGGCGAAGGCGCCUAUCUGGCCCGAUACUGACGCUGAGGCGCGAAAGCUAGGGGAGCAAACGGG
Molecule: ribosomal RNA, 253 nt
Filed under: uncultured bacterium
Lineage: Bacteria
Description: partial 16S ribosomal RNA
Rfam family: Bacterial small subunit ribosomal RNA
Source: RNAcentral